AAUUCUAGUGAAACGACAUAAUUUUUUUCUUGUUGGAAUGAGCUAUAUGGUUUGUCAACCACCGAACCUUUUUUUUUUUCUGGAAACAGACAAUGGCAUCCAAACUUAUGUCUACCCAGGAUGGGAUGGAAGGUGAAAGAGAGGAAGUUUAAAAGGCUUGAAAAAAAAGAAGUCUGGAAAGAGAUAGGGGAGGGUUAUAGAGAUAGAAGAGAAGGUUGAGGGAGGCAGAGAUUUAGAGAGACAUGGAAACGAGUUUUUGUCUUCUUAAACUUGCAAGGGAGGGAGAAAGAUCAGGAGAGAGCAAGAAAAAAAUAUGAAUGUGUGAAGAUCUAUUGUGGUGAAAUGCAUAUUAUAUUGAUCAAGCACUUUCUUUUUGAGUCUCUUUUGUUUGGAAUUCUCUGGACACUAACCUGGAAACUACUUCUACACGUGAAAGUUAAGAUUCUCAAGAUGAAAUAAGAGCUAGUAUGGUAUGUUUUGUAUAUUUAUAUGUUGUUGAGUUGAAUAUAAAAUUGGGUUAAUUUUUUAAGAUUGUCUUGAUUGGAUUAAAAUAGAUUAUCGAGUUAAAUAUGGAUCUGGGCUGUUUUUUUAAGGUUGUUUUGAUUGAGUUAAAAUAGAUUAUUAAGUUGUAGUGUUUAAUAAGUUAAAAGUUGUGUUGAUUUGAUAUAUGAAAACCUAUAGAUUUUAAUAAUUCUUUAUUAGAAGGAUUUGAUAUAUUGAGCACAAGGUUUGAUCUGUUGAAAGAAUUGUUAAGUUCUCUGCUCAUGUUUUUACUUAUCUCGAGAAAAAGGUUGACCAAAGUUUGGCCCUUCACUGAAUUAAGAUUUCUCCUACUUUUGUUUUAUGGUUUGUUGUCAUAUAUUGCCACUGUAGGGCUGCAAUUUUCGUCUUCUUCUUGUAAAUGUGCUUUGGUGUUAGGCUAGCGUUCUAAUUUUCUCUUGGGUUUUUGUUUGGGUGUUAUGUUUUCUGGGUUUGUAGCUAAGUUCCAGAUUAAGAGAUUCGGACAUGUUUUGUGCUCUUUUAUUCUGUCUUUAAGAUGAUCUUAUUAUUUCAACCGAGAGAAUGGUUUGGAUUUUAUUAUUGAAUUUCUCUUAUCAAUUCAAACUUUUUUCUUAGGGAAUUGAUUUUCUUUGAUGACUUUUUAAGCAGUUUUAUACCAUAAAAAGGGCUUCCAAGGGACAAUUUCUCUUAUCAAUUGUUUGGGUGUUAUGUUUUCUGGGUUUGUUGCUUGUAGGGUUCUUUCUGUUGCUUAGAGCAAACAAGUUUGAUUACUUCUUUUGCUGUGUUUGCUGAAGCUUUUCUUGUUUUUUCUUUCAUUUUUUGUGGACACCAUAGCCUCUGUUGUGUUUUUUUUUUCCUCCUUUUUUUUAACAGCUAUAUGUUUUACGUUGCUCUUGGAGAAAGACAUCAAUUUCUUGGCUUUUUUUUUCUUUCUAAAGCAGCCAAAUAUUCACCAAAGACUGAUUUUAUCAUGUAAUAGAGCAUAUUUUCAUACCAAUUAUGGAUCAUUUCUUUGCAUGUUUAAUUUUUAUGUUUGAGCUGAUGAGAGAAGAUGAAGCUCAGAGAUAUUGCCACCAGCUUAUCAAUAUAGUGGAUCAUUGCCACAGCAAGGGUGUUUCUCACAGAGACCUCAAGCCAUAAAAUUUGCUGUUGAAUACUUUUGGGAACCUUAGAAUUUAGAUUUUGGAUUAAGUUCAUUGUCCCAACAAGUUAGGGCAUCAAAUCCUCAUCUACAAAGCCACGAGAAAGAAGGGACCGAGAGAGAAAGCCAUUGAAACUUCUCCAUCCAAUGGUGGAUGUUGGUGAUUUGGGACUUAUCAGGUUUCUCCAAGUGUAUGGAUUUUACUGCAGAUGGUUUAGAGUUUCAAUAUAUUAAAAAAUAAUAGAUCAAACGCUAAAUUUAAAAAUAAGUUUUGUAGUUUCAUUAAGUUUUUCACAUCUUGAAAGUGAAUUGAAAUACCUUCUUUUUUAAUCUAUUGUUCCCGAAGGUCUCUAUCAUGGCAGGGGCAUUGCUCGAUUCUGUUA
Molecule: long non-coding RNA, 2025 nt
Organism: Populus nigra (black poplar)
Lineage: Eukaryota; Viridiplantae; Streptophyta; Magnoliopsida; Malpighiales; Salicaceae
Exons: 2
Source: RefSeq, a predicted model, not a curated record